This 142-nucleotide non-coding RNA is filed under the name Chromera velia. The record is from RNAcentral. Lineage: Eukaryota; Chromeraceae.
ACAUGUACACAGACAGACGGAGAGACUAUAUGUUUCUUACAGACAGACAAACAAACCAACAAACAUGCAAACAGACUCUUUCUUUCUUUCUUUCUUUCUUCCUUUCUCUCGUUCUUUCUGUCCCACCUCUUCCUUCUUUUAA